RNAcentral lists this ribosomal RNA (253 nucleotides) under uncultured bacterium. Its description in RNAcentral is "partial 16S ribosomal RNA". It matches the Rfam family "Bacterial small subunit ribosomal RNA", at positions 524 to 776 of the family's 1533-position model. The record is from RNAcentral.
AACGUAGGACACGAGCGUUAUCCGGAGUUACUGGGCGUAAAGGGUAGGCAGGCGGCAAGAGAAGUUGGGUGUGAAAUCUCCUGGCUUAACCAGGAGGGUGCAUCCGAAACUCUCUAGCUAGAGGGCGACAGAGGUGCGUGGAAUUCCGGGUGGAGUGGUGAAAUGCGUAGAGAUCCGGAGGAACACCAGAGGCGAAAGCGGCGCACUGGGUCGAACCUGACGCUGAACUACGAAAGCCAGGGGAGCGAACGGG